CCCUGUUGGUAUUUUACUCCCAAAAAAUCACUUCCCAGAUGCUUUGGUUGUGGCAGCUGCCACCCUCCAUGCGUGUAUCAAGUUUUUCUGAAAUAGGCAACUGCACGCGUGUGCUUUGUUGUUUCGUUCCUGCAUUCCUUUUGACUCGAUUGCACUGCCCAGACCAGGAGACAGGCUUCACGCUUUCUAUAUUAAACCAUGUGCGCACAUGAAAGGGAUUCUCGAAAUCACUACAACCCUCAAUGCUUAGUUUAAAACGAUUAAAGACCUGCAUUUCGUACAAAUUCCCUUGCGUGGUUGUGCAAACUCCCAAAAGUUUGUUAUCUGUUACUGUGCAUAACUUCAUGUGCCCAUCUUGUUUACUGAAAUGUUUUUGUUCUUUAGCAUCGAUUAUCUCGUAAAGUUGCAGCAUUGAGUGCCAUAAGCAUUGUGAUAACGUAGUGGCACCUGCGCGAUAGAAAUAUCCUCCUCCCUUAGGAUUUGAAUAUAUUGGUCGAUUAAGUUGACAUGCCUCAUGCUCUUCCUUUUCUCUUUGCUUCUUAUCUCCUGUCCACCUUCACCCUUAGACUUGGACAUUGCAGCUUAUCUUCAUUAACCAAUCUCUUUCCCUGUGCAUCAAGAUGCCAGAAUUGUUGGCAUUCUAUUUCUCCAUGAUCUAAAGCAUAAUUAGCCAAGUGAUCUGCCAGCUUGUUGCCCUCCCUAUGAAUAUGAGUAACUGUAAUAUUUGUACAAAUAAUGAGAAGCACUUAUAUAAGGGCGUCUGAAUGGAACUAUACAUGGUGCUGCUGGAGGAGCUGGAGAAAACCUUUAAGAUUUUACCCCCAUCCAAACUACAUGGAGUAUGUACAGGGUUUUUUGAGAUUUUCAUCUGAUUCAAACAAUGUACAUCAUAAUAGAACUUCAAUAUCUCAUACAUAAAGGUUACACUUGAGGAACCUUUUUCCAUUUGACUAUAUUGGUGAUGUCCCAUUUUAUUGGACUCUAAUAUCUGAUACAUAAAAUAUAUAUCAGAAGUUUGAAGUCUAACAAACACAAGUAGAUACAGAAAUCUUAACUACACAAAGACACUUACUCAGCAUUUGAUCCAGUUAUGCAGUUGUGUACUUUCGCUGGAUGUUCAAUUCUGAGAAGGCUCAUGGUCUUUUUCUGUUACUAUAUAUAGCAUAGGUUUCUACAUACUCGAGAAUAUUGAUCGCUUUGCCGGUACCCUUUUCCAUCUUUUGUAGUGCUAAGUUCUGGUUGUUUGAAAUACCUUGAAUAAAAUGAUUCCUUUCCUGUGAGGUUGCAAGUGAUAUUUGCUGCUCGUUCUGGUUGUUUUGAAACUGCUUGAAUAAAAUGGUUCAUUUACCUUGA
This is a long non-coding RNA of Nicotiana tabacum (common tobacco), 1353 nucleotides long. RefSeq lists it as uncharacterized. NCBI's taxonomy places the organism in Eukaryota, Viridiplantae, Streptophyta, Magnoliopsida, Solanales, Solanaceae. The record is from RefSeq and is a predicted model, not a curated record.